Molecule: ribosomal RNA, 1031 nt
Filed under: fungal endophyte
Lineage: Eukaryota; Fungi
Description: eukaryotic LSU rRNA
Rfam family: Eukaryotic large subunit ribosomal RNA (bases 497-1031)
Source: RNAcentral
GGAUCAUUACUGAGUUUACGCUCUACAACCCUUUGUGAACAUACCUAUAACUGUUGCUUCGGCGGGUAGGGUCUCCGUGACCCUCCCGGCCUCCCGCCCCCGGGCGGGUCGGCGCCCGCCGGAGGAUAACCAAACUCUGAUUUAACGACGUUUCUUCUGAGUGGUACAAGCAAAUAAUCAAAACUUUUAACAACGGAUCUCUUGGUUCUGGCAUCGAUGAAGAACGCAGCGAAAUGCGAUAAGUAAUGUGAAUUGCAGAAUUCAGUGAAUCAUCGAAUCUUUGAACGCACAUUGCGCCCGCCAGCAUUCUGGCGGGCAUGCCUGUUCGAGCGUCAUUUCAACCCUCAAGCUCUGCUUGGUGUUGGGGCCCUACAGCUGAUGUAGGCCCUCAAAGGUAGUGGCGGACCCUCCCGGAGCCUCCUUUGCGUAGUAACUUUACGUCUCGCACUGGGAUCCGGAGGGACUCUUGCCGUAAAACCCCCAAUUUUCCAAAGGUUGACCUCGGAUCAGGUAGGAAUACCCGCUGAACUUAAGCAUAUCAAUAAGCGGAGGAAAAGAAACCAACAGGGAUUGCCUCAGUAACGGCGAGUGAAGCGGCAACAGCUCAAAUUUGAAAUCUGGCCCUAGGCCCGAGUUGUAAUUUGCAGAGGAUGCUUUUGGUGCGGUGCCUUCCAAGUUCCCUAGAACGGGACGCCAGAGAGGGUGAGAGCCCCGUACAGUUGGACACCAAGCCUUUGUAAAGCUCCUUCGACGAGUCGAGUAGUUUGGGAAUGCUGCUCAAAAUGGGAGGUAUAUUUCUUCUAAAGCUAAAUACCGGCCAGAGACCGAUAGCGCACAAGUAGAGUGAUCGAAAGAUGAAAAGCACUUUGAAAAGAGGGUUAAACAGCACGUGAAAUUGUUAAAAGGGAAGCGCUUGUGACCAGACUUGCGUCCGGUGAAUCACCCAGCUCUCGCGGCUGGGGCACUUCGCCGGCUCAGGCCAGCAUCAGCUCGCUGUCGGGGACAAAAGCUUCAGGAACGUAGCUCUCUUC